RNA transcript from Raphanus sativus (radish), 1130 nucleotides. It is a transcript of the gene named homeobox protein knotted-1-like 3, with no coding region annotated. The transcript has 6 exons. NCBI's taxonomy places the organism in Eukaryota, Viridiplantae, Streptophyta, Magnoliopsida, Brassicales, Brassicaceae. The record is from RefSeq and is a predicted model, not a curated record.
UUCGCGAAGUGAUUUUCGGCCCAGAGACCGCGUAAGCAACGUAAAACCCUACUACAUGUUGAUACGAAACACCUUCGUGUUCUUCGUUCCUCCUCGGCGGCGGAGGUGCCGAUCCGUAUUCAUUUUGUAACAAUCUCUUUUUUGAUUUCAUCUCAUUAUCGCUUUCUCUCAUACUGACGGAGCAAGCGGACGAACAAACGGAGCAGGCGGCCGAGAGCGAUGGAGCAAGCAACAAGCGACGGAGAGCUGAUGAACCAAGUGAUGGGCAGAUCAAGAUGGAUAGCCAUGGAACAAGAAACGAAGAGUGUGAAGAGAUAUAUAUCAAAAGCAUUUCCUACAGUUCAAGCUCUCACAUGGGAGGUCGAUAGGCGCUCGCACAUGGCGCAUUAUGUGCUGCUUCUAUGCUCUUUCAAAGAGCAACUUCAACAACAUGUUCGUGUUCAUGCAAUGGAAGCUGUGAUGGCCUGUUGGGAUAUUGAGCAGUCUCUUCAAAGCUUAACCGGAGUGUUUCCGGGUGAAAGAAUGCGAGCAGAAGCGAUGCUAAUAUGUUUGAUGGGGGUUCAGACGUUUUGGGUUUUUGUCCUUGGAUUCCUACCGAGAGCUAGAGAUCCUUGAUGGUACGUGUUAGACAAGAACUCAAACAUGAGCUCAAACAGGGUUACAAGGAGAAGAUAGUAGCUAGACAUAAGAGAGGAGACACUGGGGAAGAGAAGAGCUGGGAAGUUACCAGGAGACACCAUCUCUGUUCUCAAAGCUGGGUGGCAAUCGCAUUCCAAAUGGUCUUACCCUACUGAGGAAGAUAAGGCUAGGUUGGUGUAGGAGACAGGUUUGCACCUAAAGCUGAUAAACAAUUGGUUCAAUCGGAGAAAGGGGAACUGGCACAGCAAACCAUCUUCCUCCACUGUUUGAAUCCGGAAACUCAGCUAGAGGCAACGCAUCAGCAACACGGGCGAUCAAUGUCAUCUUCACCAUCCAUGCUUAUUCUUCUUCAUUAACAAAGUCAUUGGAAUUGUCAUAAAGUGAUCAAGUUCAUAUGGAUUGUUUAUUAUACUUCUGUUUUGUCCACAAAACGUUUUUUUUUUCUAUUGUAACUGAAGUUUAAUAAUUUUAUACAAAUUAUUUUUUGAAAA